AGCAGACAGGGAGAAGUGGCAUAGAGACAAAGAAACAUCAUCAAACCAGGGCCUUACACUACCCAUCAGAAAUGACGAGAGUAGCCCAAGUGGGAGAGAAAGCAAAUGCAAUCUCAAAGAAGGCUCUUAAAACACUGACAGAAAUGACCAGGGAGGCCCUGCUGAAACAGUCUUGCUGGAGCUUGACAGCAUUGGUGGCCUUUGGAUGAGAAUGGCCUCAUAGACUCACAUGCUUGAAUCCUUGGUCCCCUUUGGUGGAAAUGUGAGGAAAGCAUUAGGAUAUAUGGCCUUGUUGGAGGAGGUGUCUCUGAGGUGGACUUUGAACAGCUGCUGCUCCUAGUGCACACUCUGCUUCGUGCUUCCAGAUCAAGAAGGGAGCUCUCUGCUGUGCCUGCUGCAGUCCUGAUCUCCAACCCCAGGAAACAAAACGCUUCCGGUAAAUGUCUCUUGUCAAGAACAUUGCUGUGGAUAAAAAUAAAUCCUGGAUUUGAAACACAGUCCUCUUCUCAGCAGGGUAGGGUUCUUAGAUGAUCACUAAGAACUGCAAUAAAUAUAUGGAUGCACUAAUGCUUCCUUAUUAAGGGGUAGACAAAGGGACUCCUCUGUCUCUGUCUCUGUCUCUCUCUUUCUUUCUGCUGGUUGUUCAACAUGGAAAGUCUCCAAACAAACAAACUGCAUUUAUUCCUGUUGAGAGAAACUCUAUUAUUAUUAUUUUUUUCUGGUUUUUUGAGACAGGGUUUCUCUGUGUAGCUUUGCGCCUUUCCUGGAAUUCAACUCUGUAGACCAGGCUGGCCUCGAACUCACAGAGAUCCGCCUGGCUCUGCCUCCGAGUGCUGGGAUUAAAGGCGUUCGCCACCACCGCCCGGCUGAGAGAAACUCUAGAGUCAAAAUGUCAUGAUUUUAGUGAAAGAUCUGAUGUGUGAGAUAGCCUGGGGCAACAGCCAGGCUGAAGAAUCAAAACACAGAUUGAAGGGUGUCCAGUGGCUCUUGCUUGUAAUCCUUAUAUAAAAAUAAGGCCAGCUUGGGUAACAGUCAAGAUAUGUACACACACACACACACACACACACACACACACACACACACACACACACACACAAAUACCUGAUGAAAGUCCAAAGUCAUUUAGCUUAAUCACCAGCAGGAGAACAAUGUUUUAUACACAAACCUCUGAAGAAUGAGAGAAAGCCCUGGAAAUGAUACACAAAAAUAACAGAGUUAAAACAGGACUCAGACCAAGGAAGCAGGUAGGCUAAUUGCAGACGUUUCUCCAAAGUCCUUCCCUACUUUCCACUUUAGCCUGGGCCACAACUCCAGCAGGAGCUCCCUGGGAACCUGAGGUCACUCCAGCCAGACAUGUAGGAAGGCUAACUAAAGAUCUUUACCACUCCCUCCUCUCCUACAAAUUGAAUCCCCAUGUCUUACCCCCAUCUCUGUAGCACACAACCUUGCAGCCUCCUCAUCCUCUUUGCCCCCAUCUCCAGUCCAUCACACAGAUCUACCCCUCCGAAAUUUGUUCCCCCAACUCACUGCUUUAUCUCAGUCCCCAGCACCAUUGGUAUUUCCUGGGAUCCAGCCAGCCAAGCCAGCCCCUGCCAGUGAAUCAUUAGGACAUUAAAGCAGGUAGAUAAGCUUCAGGUUU
This is a long non-coding RNA of Peromyscus leucopus (white-footed mouse), 1639 nucleotides long. RefSeq lists it as uncharacterized. NCBI's taxonomy places the organism in Eukaryota, Metazoa, Chordata, Mammalia, Rodentia, Cricetidae. The transcript has 2 exons. The record is from RefSeq and is a predicted model, not a curated record.